Molecule: long non-coding RNA, 456 nt
Organism: Peromyscus leucopus (white-footed mouse)
Lineage: Eukaryota; Metazoa; Chordata; Mammalia; Rodentia; Cricetidae
Exons: 2
Source: RefSeq, a predicted model, not a curated record
UCCAGUCUGAGGAGAAGAGACCAGAGGAGGAUCUGGUGAGGUCCUAAUAGAUUCCCCCAGGCAGAUUGAUCAUUCUAUAACUGGCCCGGAAAUGAUGAAGAUACCGUAAAGAGACACAUUUGUCCAUCAUGCUGACAAUCAGACUAUUGAAAUAAUGGAUUUCAAGAAAUUAAAAUCUAACUCUGGAAGAAGAAAAAACUUAAAGCCUGGUCCAGCCAAAGGGAAAACUUUUCUCAAAAAGAUUUACAACAUGUCAGAGCACCUUCCAAGAAGUGACAGUGAGUGUAUGAUGGGUGGACCGCACCUUGACCAGGUCUGCUUAGAUGUGGGUAACUCUGGCCUCUGCUGUAACCUUUCUUCAGGGUAUGUAACCUUACAAAAUGGGGUCGUAGGGGUCAUUGGAUCUUUGUCCCUCUUCCUAAUGACUGAACACAAUUUGUUUUCUACUUCUCACUA